AAUCAACGCUGGCGGCGUGCCUAACACAUGCAAGUCGCACGAGAAAGGGGAGCAAUCCCUGAGUAAAGUGGCGCACGGGUGAGUAACACGUGAAUCAUCUACCUCCGAGUGGGGAAUAACUGAGAGAAAUCUUAGCUAAUACCGCAUAACACUUACGAGUCAAAGCAGCAAUGCGCUUGGAGAGGAGUUCGCGGCCGAUUAGUUAGUUGGCGGGGUAAUGGCCCACCAAGACGAUGAUCGUAUCCGGCCUGAGAGGGCGCACGGACACACUGGAACUGAAACACGGUCCAGACUCCUACGGGAGGC
This 306-nucleotide ribosomal RNA is filed under the name uncultured bacterium. RNAcentral describes it as "bacterial SSU rRNA". It matches the Rfam family "Bacterial small subunit ribosomal RNA", at positions 32 to 349 of the family's 1533-position model. The record is from RNAcentral.